This 929-nucleotide ribosomal RNA is filed under the name Nocardiopsis sp. RNAcentral describes it as "bacterial SSU rRNA". It matches the Rfam family "Bacterial small subunit ribosomal RNA", at positions 60 to 992 of the family's 1533-position model. Lineage: Bacteria; Bacillati; Actinomycetota; Actinomycetes; Streptosporangiales; Nocardiopsidaceae. The record is from RNAcentral.
UGUCGAGCGGUAAGGCCCUUCGGGGUACACGAGCGGCGAACGGGUGAGUAACACGUGAGCAACCUGCCCCUGACUCUGGGAUAAGCGGUGGAAACGCCGUCUAAUACCGGAUACGACCCGCCACCUCAUGGUGGAGGGUGGAAAGUUUUUCGGUCAGGGAUGGGCUCGCGGCCUAUCAGCUUGUUGGUGGGGUAACGGCCUACCAAGGCGAUUACGGGUAGCCGGCCUGAGAGGGCGACCGGCCACACUGGGACUGAGACACGGCCCAGACUCCUGCGGGAGGCAGCAGUGGGGAAUAUUGCGCAAUGGGCGAAAGCCUGACGCAGCGACGCCGCGUGGGGGAUGACGGCCUUCGGGUUGUAAACCUCUUUUACCACCAACGCAGGCUCCCAGUUCUCUGGGGGUUGACGGUAGGUGGGGAAUAAGGACCGGCUAACUACGUGCCAGCAGCCGCGGUAAUACGUAGGGUCCGAGCGUUGUCCGGAAUUAUUGGGCGUAAAGAGCUCGUAGGCGGCGUGUCGCGUCUGCUGUGAAAGACCGGGGCUUAACUCCGGUUCUGCAGUGGAUACGGGCAUGCUAGAGGUAGGUAGGGGAGACUGGAAUUCCUGGUGUAGCGGUGAAAUGCGCAGAUAUCAGGAGGAACACCGGUGGCGAAGGCGGGUCUCUGGGCCUUACCUGACGCUGAGGAGCGAAAGCAUGGGGAGCGAACAGGAUUAGAUACCCUGGUAGUCCAUGCCGUAAACGUUGGGCGCUAGGUGUGGGGACUUUCCACGGUUUCCGCGCCGUAGCUAACGCAUUAAGCGCCCCGCCUGGGGAGUACGGCCGCAAGGCUAAAACUCAAAGGAAUUGACGGGGGCCCGCACAAGCGGCGGAGCAUGUUGCUUAAUUCGACGCAACGCGAAGAACCUUACCAAGGUUUGACAUCACCC